RNAcentral lists this transfer RNA (83 nucleotides) under Desulfonatronospira thiodismutans ASO3-1. It matches the Rfam family "tRNA". Rfam says of the family: Transfer RNA (tRNA) molecules are approximately 80 nucleotides in length. Their secondary structure includes four short double-helical elements and three loops (D, anti-codon, and T loops). Further hydrogen bonds mediate the characteristic L-shaped molecular structure. tRNAs have two regions of fundamental functional importance: the anti-codon, which is responsible for specific mRNA codon recognition, and the 3' end, to which the tRNAs corresponding amino acid is attached (by aminoacyl-tRNA synthetases). tRNAs cope with the degeneracy of the genetic code in two manners: having more than one tRNA (with a specific anti-codon) for a particular amino acid; and 'wobble' base-pairing, i.e. permitting non-standard base-pairing at the 3rd anti-codon position. The record is from Rfam by way of RNAcentral. Lineage: Bacteria; Pseudomonadati; Thermodesulfobacteriota; Desulfovibrionia; Desulfovibrionales; Desulfonatronovibrionaceae.
GCCGGGGUGGUGAAACUGGUAGACGCACGGGACUCAAAAUCCCGCGGGCUUUGCCCAUGAGGGUUCGAAUCCCUCCCCCGGCA